This 255-nucleotide ribosomal RNA is filed under the name Rossellomorea vietnamensis. RNAcentral describes it as "Bacillus vietnamensis partial 16S ribosomal RNA". It matches the Rfam family "Bacterial small subunit ribosomal RNA", at positions 1 to 247 of the family's 1533-position model. The record is from RNAcentral. Lineage: Bacteria; Bacillati; Bacillota; Bacilli; Caryophanales; Bacillaceae.
UUUCGGAGAGUUUGAUCCUGGCUCAGGACGAACGCUGGCGGCGUGCCUAAUACAUGCAAGUCGAGCGGACUGAUGGGAGCUUGCUCCCUGAAGUCAGCGGCGGACGGGUGAGUAACACGUGGGUAACCUGCCUGUAAGACUGGGAUAACUCCGGGAAACCGGGGCUAAUACCGGAUAGUUCUUUUCCUCGCAUGAGGAAAAGUGGAAAGGCGGCUUCGGCUGCCACUUACAGAUGGACCCGCGGCGCAUUAGCUA